This 272-nucleotide long non-coding RNA is filed under the name Elaeis guineensis (African oil palm). RNAcentral describes it as "long non-coding RNA (EGUI_LNC032477)". The record is from RNAcentral. Lineage: Eukaryota; Viridiplantae; Streptophyta; Magnoliopsida; Arecales; Arecaceae.
AUUGGAUACUUUUCCUUCAAGGAGUCUAACUACCAACCACAUAUUUUGGAUUGGAGUCUGGUAGCAACAAUUCCCAUUCCUCUAUUUCUCUUCCCCUUAUUUGGAAUAAGAAAAGAAGAAAAGAAUAAGAAAAAAUGAACAAAGGAGAAGAAAGCAGUAGAAUAAGUAAAUGACUUCUAUUGCUUGUCUCCUGCGUAGCCUAAUGGUGGCUCUUUGGCCUAUCUCCCUAUCUGCUCCUGUUAAAAUUUAUCUGAUGAAUCCUAUUUGAAUUG